RNAcentral lists this ribosomal RNA (477 nucleotides) under Acinetobacter baumannii. RNAcentral's name for it is "bacterial SSU rRNA". It matches the Rfam family "Bacterial small subunit ribosomal RNA", at positions 1056 to 1533 of the family's 1533-position model. The record is from RNAcentral. Lineage: Bacteria; Pseudomonadati; Pseudomonadota; Gammaproteobacteria; Moraxellales; Moraxellaceae.
CAGCUCGUGUCGUGAGAUGUUGGGUUAAGUCCCGCAACGAGCGCAACCCUUUUCCUUACUUGCCAGCAUUUCGGAUGGGAACUUUAAGGAUACUGCCAGUGACAAACUGGAGGAAGGCGGGGACGACGUCAAGUCAUCAUGGCCCUUACGGCCAGGGCUACACACGUGCUACAAUGGUCGGUACAAAGGGUUGCUACACAGCGAUGUGAUGCUAAUCUCAAAAAGCCGAUCGUAGUCCGGAUUGGAGUCUGCAACUCGACUCCAUGAAGUCGGAAUCGCUAGUAAUCGCGGAUCAGAAUGCCGCGGUGAAUACGUUCCCGGGCCUUGUACACACCGCCCGUCACACCAUGGGAGUUUGUUGCACCAGAAGUAGCUAGCCUAACUGCAAAGAGGGCGGUUACCACGGUGUGGCCGAUGACUGGGGUGAAGUCGUAACAAGGUAGCCGUAGGGGAACCUGCGGCUGGAUCACCUCCUUA